CAACAGAUCCUUUUACCAUCCAGGUCCCUUCCUUGUAGGAGGCCAGAGUGCAACAGCUGCAAACAGCAGCCUGCUCACCAAUACAUCCACCUUGCCACUUGUAGGGGUUGUCUCAAGCGACCCUGGAGACAGCC
This is a small nucleolar RNA of Acomys russatus (golden spiny mouse), 134 nucleotides long. RefSeq annotates it as small nucleolar RNA SNORA70. The transcript has a single exon. NCBI's taxonomy places the organism in Eukaryota, Metazoa, Chordata, Mammalia, Rodentia, Muridae. The record is from RefSeq and is a predicted model, not a curated record.